GACGAACGCUGGCGGCGUGCUUAACACAUGCAAGUCGAACGGAAAGGCCCUGCUUUUGUGGGGUGCUCGAGUGGCGAACGGGUGAGUAACACGUGAGUAACCUGCCCUUGACUUUGGGAUAACUUCAGGAAACUGGGGCUAAUACCGGAUAGGAGCUCCUGCUGCAUGGUGGGGGUUGGAAAGGUUCGGCGGUUGGGGAUGGACUCGCGGCUUAUCAGCUUGUUGGUGGGGUAGUUGCUUACCAAGGCUUUGACGGGUAGCCGGCCUGAGAGGGUGACCGGCCACAUUGGGACUGAGAUACGGACCAGACUCCUACGGGAGGCAGCAGUGGGGAAUAUUGCACAAUGGGCGGAAGCCUGAUGCAGCAACGCCGCGUGCGGGAUGACGGCCUUCGGGUUGUAAACCGCUUUCGCCUGUGACGAAGCGGGAGUGACGGUAAUGGGUAAAGAAGCACCGGCUAACUACGUG
RNAcentral lists this ribosomal RNA (468 nucleotides) under uncultured bacterium. Its description in RNAcentral is "partial 16S ribosomal RNA". It matches the Rfam family "Bacterial small subunit ribosomal RNA", at positions 28 to 507 of the family's 1533-position model. The record is from RNAcentral.